RNAcentral lists this ribosomal RNA (276 nucleotides) under uncultured Mesorhizobium sp. RNAcentral describes it as "partial 16S ribosomal RNA". It matches the Rfam family "Bacterial small subunit ribosomal RNA", at positions 1106 to 1382 of the family's 1533-position model. The record is from RNAcentral. Lineage: Bacteria; Pseudomonadati; Pseudomonadota; Alphaproteobacteria; Hyphomicrobiales; Phyllobacteriaceae.
CGCCCUUAGUUGCCAUCAUUCAGUUGGGCACUCUAAGGGGACUGCCGGUGAUAAGCCGAGAGGAAGGUGGGGAUGACGUCAAGUCCUCAUGGCCCUUACGGGCUGGGCUACACACGUGCUACAAUGGUGGUGACAGUGGGCAGCGAGACCGCGAGGUCGAGCUAAUCUCCAAAAGCCAUCUACAGUUCGGAUUGCACUCUGCAACUCGAGUGCAUGAAGUUGGAAUCGCUAGUAAUCGCGGAUCAGCAUGCCGCGGUGAAUACGUUCCCGGGCCUU